AGAGGAGCAACUAACAGCCUGCUUCUCCAGCUCUGCCAGGGGUUUACCAGCCAGGCUUUAUCACUCUUGCAGCUGGACCCAAAUCAAAGAAUUCAGAUCCAGAGAAGACUUUCAUCCCUAUUCUUCCAAAGAUCAAGAGUUCUGGGGUCCAGGAUUUUGGUUUGCAUCCAUUUCUAACCAAUAAUAUAGUGAGAACAAAAGGGGACUGGAGACCAUCAGCGGAACACAUGAUCUUCCCAUAGCAUAGGUGAACUUGUGAACCCCUCACUCCCUUUAGUGAGCCAUUACUAACACAAGUGAAACAAUUGACUGUGGUGGUACAAUUUGAGUAGAUGUUUCAGCAAGGUAAAGGCUUUACAAUCUGGCCCUUUGUCUGUGAGCUCUCAUGCAUAUUUACAGUGUGAUUCAAGAGGCAGGUCCUGUCUACACUGGCAAGUUUCUGUGCAGUAAAGCAGCUUUCUGUGCUGUAACUCCAGAGGUGUGCACACUGCCAAGCCACUUAGUGUGCAGAAACAGCGUAGUUGUAGCGCUGUAAAAAAAACACCCCAAUGAGAGGCAUACAGCUUUCUGCGCCAGGGCUACAGUGCUGCAGUGCCAGUGUAGACCGCCUGGUAGAUUACAGUGCUGUGAUUGGCCUCCAGGAGGUGAUCCACAAUGCCUGUCCUCGCCUCUCUGGUCAUGGGUUUGAACUCUACUGCCCUGCCCUCAGGUGACCAACCGUCAUCCCGAAAUUCUUUUGGAAUGUUGAAAGUCCCCUUCCUGUUUGUUCAGUGACGUGUGCAAUGGUCUCAGCGCAUCUUUCCAGAUGGCCAUGCCUGCUCUGUGCACGAGGCGAUCCCUCGCUUGGAGUAAUUCUGAGCUGCUGGACCUCAUUGGCAUUUGGGGAGAGGAGGCUGUCCAGUCCCAGCUGUGCUCCAGUCCCAGCUGUGCUCCAGCUGUAGGAAUUAUGAUACCUACGGACAGAUUUCAUGAUGCAUGACAGAAAGGGGCCAUGACUGAGACACACUGCAGUGCAGGGUCAAAGUGAAGGAGCUGUGGAACACCUACCACAAGGUGUGGAAGGCAAACCAUUGCUCCAGUUCUAUGCCCAUGAGCUGCCGAUUCUACAAAGAGAUGGACGUGAUAAUCGGCAGCAACCCCACCUCCACUGCAAAGACCACUGUGGAUACUUCAGUGGCUUGUGUGCCAGUCUAAAGUGGACCGAGCCAGGAGGAGGAAAUCUUGGACAAGGAUGUGGAGAGGGACCCAGAGGCAGAGGAUGAUUCAGAGGUCAGAGAUGCAUGCAGCCAGGAGCUCUUUUCUAUCCUGGAGGAGGUUAGUCAGUCACAGCUAUCAGAUGUUGGUGAAGCGCAAACAGAAGAGGAGGCCCCUGAGGUGACCUUGGAAGCCCAGCCUCCCUCUUGGUUAUUGGCAGCUGAAUGGCGGCACAGAAUUAGAAAGUGGCCAAGAAGAACUAAGGAGGACUUUCUGCAUGAUGUUAUCAUGCACUCCGCCACCGAGAAACAGGAAUUGAAGGAGUGGCAGGACAGCAAGAAGAGGGACCGAAAGGAGAACACGGCAUGCCAGAAUGAAUCCACAGAGCGUCUCUUAAAGGUUAUGCAGUGUCAAGGAGACAUGCUCCAGGUGAUACUAGCUCUUCAAACUGAGCAGCUCUGUGCCUGCCCUCCCCUGCAGCUGCUCUCGCAAAAAUCUUUCCCAUGCUCCCCUCACACACUACCAGCACAAUCUUAUCAACCUCCUGGCUCCAGUCUAUACUCACGGCAUUCCACUCCUCCCUGCUCACAGACCAGCAGUGUGAACUCCCACUACCCACUUCACUCAACACCCAUCCCUCUGCAGUUUGGCCCUGCUGGAGCACAGUACCCGCUGCACUGUACUCCAAAGGAGGAGGUUGGAUAUGAUCCCUGGACAUACACAAAUCUUUAGCUGUCCU
Molecule: long non-coding RNA, 1933 nt
Organism: Mauremys reevesii (Reeves's turtle)
Lineage: Eukaryota; Metazoa; Chordata; Testudines; Geoemydidae
Exons: 3
Source: RefSeq, a predicted model, not a curated record